Suricata suricatta (meerkat) is the source of this 1156-nucleotide long non-coding RNA. RefSeq lists it as uncharacterized. NCBI's taxonomy places the organism in Eukaryota, Metazoa, Chordata, Mammalia, Carnivora, Herpestidae. The record is from RefSeq and is a predicted model, not a curated record. The transcript is spliced from 3 exons.
CGGACCCGGUGCCGGGCCCUGACUCCCUGUCGGGCUCCCUUCUUUCGGUGCCACUUAAGAAAAAAAGAGUGGGAGUGAGGAAGGAGAAGAAGGAAAAGAAAAAAAAAUCCAUAUGGUCCGGUGCUGGGCACAGGUGGCCUCAUCUGUCGCAUCUCUGAAACGUCUGGAGGGAAGAAUGUGACGGUGAAAAGGCACACUAACCAAAGGAGGGAGCAGUGCCUUGGCCCAUUAAGUGAGGUCUGCUGGGCCCUACUUUACCUUGCUCCCCAGACUUGAAGAAACCGGGGCCCUGGACCUUCGAUCCCUACCACCACCACCCAUGAGGCGCUCCGAGAGGGACUAACCGCCAACAAGGCCCCUGACCCCAAGGCGCGGGAGGAAGCAGGGGCAGGCAGGAAUGUCAGCCAGGGCAGUCUCCUGUCCGUGAACACUGUGAAAGGCCAGCAGCUUCCCCUUCUGCUCCUUCUGCCCUCCUUGUCUCCACCCCAACAUGAUUUUUUGGGAUUAAGGGGGUGUGGGGGUCCUGAUUUGAGCCAGGAUAGUCUCCUAAGGUAGAGCUGGGUAGAGCACCCUACUGACUGAUAGAUCACAUCACAGGAGCUGAGGCUGAAGCACAACAGGGAUGAAUGGUGAGGGGGCUUCUUCAAACAGGAAGGCCUCGGUGUGGUCCAUACUGUGCGUCCCGAUGUGCCUCCCUCCUCAAUAAAGCACCUCUAGAGUCAAGUCCUCUGUGAUGCAGCCUGGGGGGAGGGGCUGACUGUGGGGCUUCUGGCCCAACACCCUUGAUUCUGGGGUCUUUCUAGCCAAGUGCUUUAUCUUCCUAGCACCAGCCCCUCUUGGAGACCUGGAAGGGGACCCCAGGGGAGUAGAGUGUGUGACUGAACAUCCGUGGGAACAAGUGCCUCGCCGAUGAGGUCUGUGGACUAGGAGUUGGGGACUGGGGGGAAGUGAGUAGAAUGUGAGCUCUGAGAAGUUAGCACUCCUGGCUUACUCACUGCUAUGCACUCAGGUGCUCCUCUGACACAAGAACAGGAUGAAUAGACACAGCCCCCAGCCCCACCCCGGACCGGGCCUGAUGAGGAGGCAGCAGAUUUCAGCUCAGCAGGAGGAAGAACUUCUCAAGAGUCGGACCUUGCAAGGAGCUCCGCAUGCCUGC